RNAcentral lists this ribosomal RNA (251 nucleotides) under uncultured prokaryote. RNAcentral describes it as "partial 16S ribosomal RNA". It matches the Rfam family "Bacterial small subunit ribosomal RNA", at positions 524 to 774 of the family's 1533-position model. The record is from RNAcentral.
UACGGAGGAUGCAAGCGUUAUCCGGAUUUAUUGGGUUUAAAGGGUGCGCAGGUUGUAUGAUAAGUCAGUGGUGAAAGUCUGUCGCUUAACGGUAGGAUUGCCAUUGAUACUGUUGGACUUGAAUAUGGAUGAGGUAGGCGGAAUGUGUAGUGUAGCGGUGAAAUGCAUAGAUAUUACACAGAACACCGAUUGCGAAGGCAGCUUACUAAUCCGUCAUUGACGCUGAGGCACGAAAGCGUGGGGAUCAAACA